Molecule: long non-coding RNA, 989 nt
Organism: Hipposideros armiger (great roundleaf bat)
Lineage: Eukaryota; Metazoa; Chordata; Mammalia; Chiroptera; Hipposideridae
Exons: 5
Source: RefSeq, a predicted model, not a curated record
CCCAAAAGCCCUGGUCAGAACAUGAUGAAGUGGAUCCUCCACUCUUUCUCCAUUCAUGGGCAGGAUGGAGAGAAUUUCUAGAACUGGAAAAUGGAACCACAGGAGAGAAGGGGGCUAUAUCUGAAGGGCCAUGUGGAACAGCGUCCUCUUAAACAACAAAUACUGAAGAUGUAUGCCAUUGUACAGCCAAGUUUCCUUCUUAUGAUUUCUUUUUUAAAAUAAUAACAAUACCAUCCAGCAGUGGAAAAGAAUAAAAUAUAGCUACACACAACAAGUUGGAUGCAUCUCAGAAAAUCACACUGAGUGAGAAAAACCAAGUUGCAGAAGAAUUCAGUGAUUCCAUUUAUAUCAACUCAAAGCAUUCAAGACCACAGAUUGAAGAUAUCAACAUAUGUGACAAAGUACAAGGAAAAGCAAGGUUAAUGAAGUCUGGAGUCAUCCAGAACGGCUUCCUGAAGGAGGAGUGGUCUUAGCUGAUCCUUGAAGGAUGAGCAGGAUUCGGAUAAGGAAAGAGAAGAGGGAAGAGAUAGUCCCAGGCACUUUGCAUUUACAGUCGUGGGUGCAAAAAGAGGAGACGGUUGAGGAGAGAACCCUUUGGAAUGCUACCAGGGAGUAGUUAUCACAAGAGAACCCCACACUGGCCAGGUGUCUGUGUGUUCCUGCCUUUCUCCUCCUCCCUAAAGUAGCUGCUAUAAGCGACAGAACCUGGAUGGUGACCUAACCAUACCUUUCCCACUCUCCUGGGCACACCACUAAGGGGAUACCUGCUUCUUCUCUAGAGACGUCUCUGGGAAACUGGAAAGAACAUGGACAUUAUAGACAGCUUUGGAUCUGCAGCUCUGCCAUGUGCUGGCUGUGUGCACUUGGGUUUGCAGCAGCUCGGGCUGACUUAACCCAGUAGGAACAACAGGCACAGUGUUUAGGCACCACCAUAUUUUCAGGGGCCCAUAAAAACAUUUUAGUUUCAUAGCUUGGGACUCCAGAGAGCC